UAAUACGGAGGGGGCAAGCGUUGUUCGGAAUUACUGGGCGUAAAGGGCGCGUAGGCGGCCGGUUGCGUCGGAUGUGAAAGCCCUGGGCUCAACCCGGGAAUGGCAUUCGAUACGGGCUGGCUUGAAGUCGGAAGAGGAGAGUGGAAUUCCCAGUGUAGAGGUGAAAUUCGUAGAUAUUGGGAAGAACACCGAUGGCGAAGGCAGCUCUCUGGUCCGACCUUGACGCUGAGGCGCGACAGCGUGGGGAGCAAACAGGAUUAGAUACCCUGGUAGUCCACGCCGUAAACGAUGUGCGCUAGCCGUCGGGGGGCUUGCCCUUCGGUGGCGCCGCUAACGCAUUAAGCGCACCGCCUGGGGAGUACGGCCGCAAGGUUA
This 375-nucleotide ribosomal RNA is filed under the name uncultured bacterium. RNAcentral describes it as "bacterial SSU rRNA". It matches the Rfam family "Bacterial small subunit ribosomal RNA", at positions 521 to 896 of the family's 1533-position model. The record is from RNAcentral.